AGUGAACGUUGGCGGCGUGGAUUAGGCAUGCAAGUCGAGCGAGAACCGUAGCAAUACGGGGACAGCGGCGAAAGGGACAGUAAUGUGUAGGUACCUACCCCGAGGUCUGGGAUAGCUGCGGGAAACUGCAGGUAAUACCGGAUAAUGUCUUCGGACCAAAGGUGUGAUUCCACCUUGGGAGGGGCCUGCAUCCUAUUAGCUAGUUGGCGGGGUAAUGGCCCACCAAGGCAACGAUGGGUAGCGGGUGUGAGAGCACGACCCGCGUCAUUGGGACUGAGACACUGCCCAGACACCUACGGGUGGCUGCAGGCGAGGAUCUUCGGCAAUGGGCGAAAGCCUGACCGAGCGACGCCGCGUGCGGGAUGAAGGCCUUGGGUUGUAAACCGCUGUCGUAGAGGAGGAAAUGCAGGGGGGUUCUCCCUUCUGUUUGACCUAUUCUAGGAGGAAGUACGGGCUAAGUUCGUGCCAGCCGCCGCCGUAA
This 481-nucleotide ribosomal RNA is filed under the name uncultured bacterium. RNAcentral describes it as "partial 16S ribosomal RNA". It matches the Rfam family "Bacterial small subunit ribosomal RNA", at positions 28 to 523 of the family's 1533-position model. The record is from RNAcentral.